This 24-nucleotide non-coding RNA is filed under the name Arabidopsis thaliana (thale cress). The record is from RNAcentral. Lineage: Eukaryota; Viridiplantae; Streptophyta; Magnoliopsida; Brassicales; Brassicaceae.
UGUGACAUUCAACACGUGGAGAUA